Non-coding RNA from Vicia faba (fava bean), 267 nucleotides. The record is from the annotation of a GenBank genome assembly. Lineage: Eukaryota; Viridiplantae; Streptophyta; Magnoliopsida; Fabales; Fabaceae.
AUGAUUGUGGAAAAAGAGAGGGAGCAGAGAAAAGUCUUGGUGAUUCUCCAGAGACUUUUUUUUUUUGAAGAAUCCAUCUCAAUCAAGGGCUGCAAUAUACUUGUAUGCCGAUCUGAUUUGGUGUUUUUCCACCUUCUUCCAAAUGCUUUUGAAUUGGUUUCGCGUCAUGAGCUUGAACUGGAUUGGUACCGCUUUCUGUAUCAAUGCAGGGCUGCCAUGGUUUUCCAUAUUGUAGCAAUUAUCUCAGUCAUGUUAUGUAUGUGUUAA